UCAUUGAUAUAUUUUGCAUUCUGGAGAUUUUAGGAGAACGGUUGCAAAAGUUCAAGAGUCUCCAAAUACCUUAACAGUAAAAGCCAUUUAGGAUGUCAUUCUGCAGAUCUGUUUUAAAAGAUGUGUAAAUACCAGUCUACAGUAUUUACAUGCUCAUAGGAAAGAAAUUGGAAGAUUUGUUACACGUUCUAGUACAUCCUACCUGUAUUAUGAGCUAAGAAGACAUGGAAUCAUAGGAUAAUCCAAGCUGGAAGGGACCUAUGCGAAUGAACUACCCAACCUCCUGCUCAAAGCAAGGUCAACCAUAAGUAUGAGCAGGUUGCUGAACUUUUUAUUCAGUCUGAUCCUAAAAAGCUCCAAGAACAAGGACAACACAUUCUCCCUACACAGCUUGUUCCAGUUGCUUUUCUUUACUUGCCUGCAGUACCCAUGAAGAGGUUACAAGCCUGAGAGUAACGACCUCACUCUUUGAAGACGGCCGCCUAACUGAGACAGGCAAUUGUCAAAGAUCUGGGGAUGCUUCAGAAGAAAGGUCUCCAAGUGUACACUGACCAUUAGUACCACCCCCGGCACCUGUGACAGAAGGACCUGAUUUCUACACUGCUGUUCUCAAGUGAACUAUCUGAGGCUGUGAUGUAUAAAGCCAAUUCCACUGAGCAGACAGUACUACACUGAAUAUAAAUUAUCCUUUAACUACAGCAAGGCUUACACUCAAAGAAAUGCUGCAAGGAUGAACAAUGCAGCCAUGAAGCAAUAAAGAGUUCUUCUGCAGAAAAAUUACAGACCCAGAUCUGCAUGGAUAACCAUGUUUUCAGAAGACAAAUUUUGUCUCAGCUGUUACUUGAUAAAAACUAGAGUCAAUUUUGGAACAUUUGUACAUACAGAAACAUAAUUAAUGAACACCGCUUACUUUUUCCAUUAAAAAGUGAGGCAGGAAUGCUUGCCUUAUUUUCCAGACUGAGCAUCAUUCCCCUCAGCAUCGUAACAGUUGUUUUGGAAGGUGGAUAUCAACAGUCUCAAUUGAACAUGGCUUGAAAUUUAAGCACAUCUUUUCCAGAUCUCCUCAGAAGAACCGUCUGCCUACUGAGCCUACACUAAGCUCCCUGGAGCUUAGCCAUGAAUAUUCUAAACUCAUCUCUUACAAAUCACAAGAAGUCUCCUUUUGCCAAAAUAAAACACUUAAGAGGAAUUCAAUACACUUAAGCUGCUUUUCUUCAUUUCCUUUGAUUAUUUUAAAUGAAUAAUUUCUGUCUAAACUUUAUGCUAAAUAUACAGCAAGAGAGACACUCAACAGUAGAGCUAUUACCUCUGAUUUUGUACACAACUCAAAUGGGAAAACAAAUUACUUGUGACAACCUGAGAUGUUUUGUUUUGUUUUAAUCUACAUAAUUUUAUAAUUAACCAACUCUUUUGCAGUUAUACAAAGAUACUAAUGAGUAUCUUUAGAGGAAAUUUCUCUAUUGUUUAUUUAAAUUGCAGGUGGCUCUAAGAAAUGGGUCAUUUGCAGUCUAUCCUGUUUAUUUGUAUAGCAGCUUCCAUUGUGUGUGAAGAAGUUUGUAAAUAAAUGAGUAACUUUUCUCCUGUCUUACCUCUUUUGACCUGUGCAGUCUGACAGAUCAACACUGCUUCCACCGCUGACAAGCAAAAAGUGAACAUUUAUCUUUGGCUUAAUCUUUCUGUUCUCUUUGGGUUUCCUUUCAAUAAGACUCAAAGAAGGUGCUCUUUGUGGCUCAUGCCACAACGUUGUCUUUGCCAGAAUAAAAUUCAGCAAAAAAAGAAGGCAAGUUUAAGCUGAUAUCCACUAUUGUCCUCAGCUCUGCUUUGGUUCAAUAAACUUGAACAUCUUCCCCUCCUUUGCCAAUUGUGAUAAGCAGGAACAAUUACCCAAAAUGCAUUAUCAACUCAAGCUCAAAAAGACAGGAUCAGAUGAGUUGAGUCCACCUUUCUCAAGCUUACAGUUGUUUUUCAUGUCCGAGGGGGGCAAAUAAGUCCCUGUUUGCCUCUUGUCACUGAAUUCAGAGCUACUUCUUAAAGGCAACUACACCAAGGUUGCAAAAGGAAUAGAAGACAAAUCCUCUGCUUUCUACAGCCUACAGGGCUUCCGAGUGUGACCAGCAGGCUGUAGGCUUUGUGCCAUUAUGGCAAAACUCAUAAAUGAACCAUCCUUCCCUUCCCUGAAUGGUAAGAAAUAUUUUAUCCUUGCCUUUUCUGUGUUCUCUUUCCUUGCCUUUCUGUGGUCUCCAUAGCUGAAACCAAGUAUUCAUUGGACAUCACUGCAAUGCUUCUCUAACCAAUUCUAACUGCAUACGGAGCUUGAGUAAUUUAAAAUAUAUUUCAGCUUGAUCUCUGCUUUAUCCCAUUCCAGUACUCCACAUAUACAGCAACUUUAAGCUCACAGAUAUCCCUCCAUGGUUCAAGAAAAUCCUUCAAUCUAAGAACUUCAUUUACAAUCCAGCAUAGUUUCUGCUUUCUUGUCUCCCCACAGCAGCUAGACAUUUUGAUGCAAUCCUCAUUUAAUGCAAUCUCCAUUACAGGAUUAUGAUCACAUCAAUAAAAUGCUCCAUAUGGUUUUUAUUUUUGGUUGUUUUU
Non-coding RNA from Meleagris gallopavo (turkey), 2589 nucleotides. The record is from RefSeq and is a predicted model, not a curated record. Lineage: Eukaryota; Metazoa; Chordata; Aves; Galliformes; Phasianidae.